CCCCAUCCCCCACAGAAGUUUGUUUAUCCACUUUUUAUAGGAAGGUUACAUCUCACCUCCUUUUUUUCUUCCCAUGUCUCUUCUCUCACUCUACAACUCGUUUUCAUUUAUUCUCUCUCUAUUUGCCUUUUCUCAUCUCUCGCUCUACAACUUUUUUUCAUUUAUUCUCUCUCUAAAUGCUUUUUCUAUCCCUAACUCCUCUCUCUUUAUUCUCUCAAAAAAAUACCUUCUCUAUAACUUUUUUUCAUUUAUUCUCUCUAAAUACUUUUUCUAUCUCUAACUCCUCUCUCUCUAUUCUCUCAAAAAAAAAAAAA
RNAcentral lists this long non-coding RNA (314 nucleotides) under Amborella trichopoda. RNAcentral describes it as "long non-coding RNA (ATRI_LNC003332)". Lineage: Eukaryota; Viridiplantae; Streptophyta; Magnoliopsida; Amborellales; Amborellaceae. The record is from RNAcentral.